This 80-nucleotide transfer RNA is filed under the name Lignosus rhinocerotis TM02. Its description in RNAcentral is "tRNA-Leu (CAG) (tRNA-Leu-CAG-2-1)". It matches the Rfam family "tRNA". From Rfam's summary of the family: Transfer RNA (tRNA) molecules are approximately 80 nucleotides in length. Lineage: Eukaryota; Fungi; Basidiomycota; Agaricomycetes; Polyporales; Polyporaceae. The record is from RNAcentral.
GGCGGAAUGGCCGAGCGGUCUAAGGCGCUAGAAUCAGGAUCUAGUCCUCACGGGCGUGGGUUCGAAUCCCACUUCCGUCA